This 133-nucleotide ribosomal RNA is filed under the name Notobuxus acuminata. RNAcentral's name for it is "partial 26S ribosomal RNA". It matches the Rfam family "Eukaryotic large subunit ribosomal RNA", at positions 1 to 132 of the family's 3401-position model. Lineage: Eukaryota; Viridiplantae; Streptophyta; Magnoliopsida; Buxales; Buxaceae. The record is from RNAcentral.
GCGACCCCCGAUCAUGUGGGACUACCCUCUGAGUUUAAGCAUAUCCAUAAGCGGAGGAAAAGAAACUUACGAGGAAUCCCCUAGUGAUGGCGAGCGAACCAGGAAGAGCCCAACUAGAAAAUCGAGGGCUCCA